This 1314-nucleotide long non-coding RNA is filed under the name Physcomitrium patens. Its description in RNAcentral is "long non-coding RNA (PPAT_LNC006945)". Lineage: Eukaryota; Viridiplantae; Streptophyta; Bryopsida; Funariales; Funariaceae. The record is from RNAcentral.
UAUAUAUAUAUAUAUAUAUAUAUAUAUCUUAUAUUUUAUUUGAAAAAUACAAUGCUUAAUUAUAAUAUACUAAGCUAUUAUUUAUAACACACAAGACAUAUCGAGUAGUGUAAAUAUUUUCUAAUAUUGGCAUAAAUAGCUACAGACUUAUUUGUCAAUUAUUUCAUUGUAUCAUUGUACAAUAUAUUUGUUAAUAUUCAUUUUUUAUGUUUUUAAUGAUCAUCAUGUUUUGUCAAUGGCAUACAUCUAUGCAAAUGCCAAUCUAUUAGAUAUUUUUGUUAGGUAUAUAAAUUGGGAAUGCCAUGUUGUUAUAUGUGAUUAUGAAAAUUUAGCACAAACAAGAGAAUACAUUUGUAUCUAUUUUACUCUGAUAUAUAUAUAUAUAUAUAUAUUCUUAAAACACCUUUUAAAAUUUUGUCUAUUAAUUUAGUGUAUUGUUUGCAUAGCACAAUACUAUUUAAUGUGGGAAUAUUUUGAGUUAUAUAUUAUAUAUUUUGUAUUAAUAUUGGAUUUUUAUUUUUUAAAAAUUACUUAUAUAUAUAUAUAUAUAUAUAUAUAUAUAUAUAUAUAUGAAUAUGUACAAAUGUAUAAACAUUAGAUUUAAGCUAAAUUCUACGUAAGAAAGAGAAUUGUGCAAAAAAAAUAAAUUAAAAGAAUGUAUUGGUGAGAUAAUUGUAGUUUGAGAACUUGAUUGUUUCAAUAUAGAAUAAUGUAUCUCAUUAUAAAUAAAUAAAUAAUUUUAGUAAAUGACAAUAAUAUUAGAAUGUACCUCAGAAAAUAAAGUUUUGUACAAAUUCCUUUGAUACAUAUUCUUAAAAAUAAAACUAAUAUUUCUUCUCUAUGUGCUAAAAUCUACAAACAACUUUCAAUUAUUUAUAAAAUAGAUUGAUACAAGAUAUUUGCAAUAACCAUAUCUUUUCAAAUAAUUGAAUGCAUAAUUUAUAGGUUUUUCUUUUUAAUGUAUUCUCAAAUCUAUAUAAAGGAAUUGUAAUAUUUUCUACCAAUAUAUAUAUAUAUAUAUAUAAACAUACAUUUAUUUUAAUUUUGCAUCUUACAUGAAUUGUAAUGUUGUGUAAUGUCCCUAACUACAAACAAUCAUUCCCAUCUCCUUCCAAACGUCAUGGGCAUCUCCAUUCACGCUUAUUACAAAGAUUGCAGCAAAUCUUAGUGUGUUUAUCACCCACUAUUCAUGUGUAUAUGGUGCUCCUAUUCACCACCUUCCUAUCAAUCUCCAAAAUUCUAACACAUAUAUCUCAGCCAUAGUGGCUUGGUAUCCGGCUCGUACCUGCAGCAUGAUGAACAGAAAAAGCAAAA